UACCGGGUAGCGGGGGAUAACUGAUCGAAAGAUCAGCUAAUACCGCAUACGUCUUGAGAGGGAAAGCAGGGGACCUUCGGGCCUUGCGCUAUCCGAGCGGCCGAUAUCUGAUUAGCUGGUUGGCGGGGUAAAGGCCCACCAAGGCGACGAUCAGUAGCGGGUCUGAGAGGAUGAUCCGCCACACUGGGACUGAGACACGGCCCAGACUCCUACGGGAGGCAGCAGUGGGGAAUUUUGGACAAUGGGCGCAAGCCUGAUCCAGCCAUGCCGCGUGUCUGAAGAAGGCCUUCGGGUUGUAAAGGACUUUUGUCAGGGAAGAAAAGGCCGUUGCCAAUAUCGGCGGCCGAUGACGGUACCUGAAGAAUAAGCACCGGCUAACUACGUGCCAGCAGCCGCGGUAAUACGUAGGGUGCGAGCGUUAAUCGGAAUUACUGGGCGUAAAGCGGGCGCAGACGGUUACUUAAGCAGGAUGUGAAAUCCCCGGGCUCAACCCGGGAACUGCGUUCUGAACUGGGUGACUCGAGUGUGUCAGAGGGAGGUGGAAUUCCACGUGUAGCAGUGAAAUGCGUAGAGAUGUGGAGGAAUACCGAUGGCGAAGGCAGCCUCCUGGGAUAACACUGACGUUCAUGUCCGAAAGCGUGGGUAGCAAACAGGAUUAGAUACCCUGGUAGUCCACGCCCUAAACGAUGUCAAUUAGCUGUUGGGCAACUUGAUUGCUUGGUAGCGUAGCUAACGCGUGAAAUUGACCGCCUGGGGAGUACGGUCGCAAGAUUAAAACUCAAAGGAAUUGACGGGGACCCGCACAAGCGGUGGAUGAUGUGGAUUAAUUCGAUGCAACGCGAAGAACCUUACCUGGUUUUGACAUGUGCGGAAUCCUCCGGAGACGGAGGAGUGCCUUCGGGAGCCGUAACACAGGUGCUGCAUGGCUGUCGUCAGCUCGUGUCGUGAGAUGUUGGGUUAAGUCCCGCAACGAGCGCAACCCUUGUCAUUAGUUGCCAUCAUUCGGUUGGGCACUCUAAUGAGACUGCCGGUGACAAGCCGGAGGAAGGUGGGGAUGACGUCAAGUCCUCAUGGCCCUUAUGACCAGGGCUUCACACGUCAUACAAUGGUCGGUACAGAGGGUAGCCAAGCCGCGAGGCGGAGCCAAUCUCACAAAACCGAUCGUAGUCCGGAUUGCACUCUGCAACUCGAGUGCAUGAAGUCGGAAUCGCUAGUAAUCGCAGGUCAGCAUACUGCGGUGAAUACGUUCCCGGGUCUUGUACACACCGCCCGUCACACCAUGGGAGUGGGGGAUACCAGAAGUAGGUAGGGUAACCGCAAGG
RNAcentral lists this ribosomal RNA (1322 nucleotides) under Neisseria meningitidis. Its description in RNAcentral is "bacterial SSU rRNA". It matches the Rfam family "Bacterial small subunit ribosomal RNA", at positions 127 to 1446 of the family's 1533-position model. The record is from RNAcentral. Lineage: Bacteria; Pseudomonadati; Pseudomonadota; Betaproteobacteria; Neisseriales; Neisseriaceae.